CCUACGGGUGACAGCAGUGAGGAAUAUUGGUCAAUGGGCGCGAGCCUGAACCAGCCAAGUAGCGUGAAGGAUGACUGCCCUACGGGUUGUAAACUUCUUUUAUCAAGUCAUAAAGUGAGGCCCGUGUGCCUUUUUGUCUUUAUUUUAUGAAUCCGGAUCGGCUGACUCCGUGCCAUCAGCCUCGGUAAUACGGAGGCUCCUGGCGUUAGCCUGAUUUAUUGGGUUUAAAGGGAGCGGAGAUGGGUUGUUAAGGCAGUUGUGAAAGUUUGCGGCUCAACCGUAAAAGUGCAAUUGCUACUGGCAGCCUUGAGUACAGUUGAGGUAGGCGGAAUGCGUGGUGUAGCGGUGAAAUGCUUAGAUAUCACGAAGAACUCCGAUUGCGAAGGCAGCCUACUAAACUGCCACUGACAUUGAUGCUCGAAAGUGUGGGUAGCAAACAGGAUUAGAUACCCCAGUAGUC
RNAcentral lists this ribosomal RNA (460 nucleotides) under uncultured bacterium. Its description in RNAcentral is "partial 16S ribosomal RNA". It matches the Rfam family "Bacterial small subunit ribosomal RNA", at positions 338 to 795 of the family's 1533-position model. The record is from RNAcentral.